GACGAACGCUGGCGGCGUGCUUAACACAUGCAAGUCGAACGGAAAGGCCCUGCUUUUGUGGGGUGCUCGAGUGGCGAACGGGUGAGUAACACGUGAGUAACCUGCCCUUGACUUUGGGAUAACUUCAGGAAACUGGGGCUAAUACCGGAUAGGAGCUCCUGCUGCAUGGUGGGGGUUGGAAAGUUUCGGCGGUUGGGGAUGGACUCGCGGCUUAUCAGCUUGUUGGUGGGGUAGUGGCUUACCAAGGCUUUGACGGGUAGCCGGCCUGAGAGGGUAACCGGCCACAUUGGGACUGAGGUACGGCCCAGACUCCUACGGGAGGCAGCAGUGGGGAAUAUUGCACAAUGGGCGGAAGCCUGAUGCAGCAACGCCGCGUGCGGGAUGACGGCCUUCGGGUUGUAAACCGCUUUCGCCUGUGACGAAGCGUGAGUGACGGUAAUGGGUAAAGAAGCACCGGCUAACUACGUG
RNAcentral lists this ribosomal RNA (468 nucleotides) under uncultured bacterium. RNAcentral describes it as "partial 16S ribosomal RNA". It matches the Rfam family "Bacterial small subunit ribosomal RNA", at positions 28 to 507 of the family's 1533-position model. The record is from RNAcentral.